GAUGAACGCUGGCGGCGUGCCUAAUACAUGCAAGUCGAGCGAACAGACGAGGAGCUUGCUCCUUUGACGUUAGCGGCGGACGGGUGAGUAACACGUAGGUAACCUACCUAUAAGACUGGGAUAACUUCGGGAAACCGGAGCUAAUACCGGAUAAUAUUUCGAACCGCAUGGUUCGAUAGUGAAAGAUGGCUUUGCUAUCACUUAUAGAUGGACCUGCGCCGUAUUAGCUAGUUGGUAAGGUAACGGCUUACCAAGGCAACGAUACGUAGCCGACCUGAGAGGGUGACAGGCCACACUAGAACUGAGACACGGUCCAGCCUCCUACGGGAGGCAGCAGUAGGGAAUCUUCCGCAAUGGGCGAAAGCCUGACGGAGCAGCGCCGCGUGAGUGAUGAAGGUCUUCGGAUCGUAAAACUCUGUUAUUAGUGAAGAACAAACGUGUAAGUAACUGUGCACGUCUUGACGGUACCUAAUCAGAAAGCCACGGCUAACUACGUG
Molecule: ribosomal RNA, 497 nt
Filed under: uncultured bacterium
Lineage: Bacteria
Description: partial 16S ribosomal RNA
Rfam family: Bacterial small subunit ribosomal RNA
Source: RNAcentral